Molecule: ribosomal RNA, 441 nt
Filed under: uncultured bacterium
Lineage: Bacteria
Description: partial 16S ribosomal RNA
Rfam family: Bacterial small subunit ribosomal RNA
Source: RNAcentral
CCUACGGUGUGCAGCAGUGGGGGAUAUUGCACAAUGGGGGGAACCCUGAUGCAGCGACGCCGCGUGGGUGAAGGAGUGCUUCGGCAUGUAAAGCCCUAUCGGCAGGGAAGAAGCAAGACGGUACCUAACUAAGAAGCACCGGCUAACUACGUUCCAGCAGCCGCGGUAAUACGUAGGGGGCGAGCGUUAUCCGGAUUGACUGGGUGGAAAGGGAGCGUAAGCGGCCAUGCAAGCCAGGGGUGAAAGCCCGGGGCCCAACCCCGGGACUGCGCUUGGAACUGCAUGGCGGGAGUGCGGGAGGGGCAGGCGGAAUUCCUGGUGUAGCGGUGAGAUGCGUAGAUAUCAGGAGGAACAUCGGCGGCGAAGGCGGCCUGCUGGACCGAGACUGACGUUGAGGCUCGAAAGCGUGGGGAGCGAACAGGAUUAGAUACCCGGGUAGUC